GAUGAAGAACGCAGCGAAAUGCGAUAAGUAAUGCGAAUUGCAGAUUUCAGUGAGUCAUCGAAUCUUUGAACGCACAUUGCGCCCGCCAGCACUCUGGCGGGCAUGCCUGUUCGAGCGUCAUUUCAACCAUCAAGCCCCCAGGGGCUUGUGCUGGGGCCCUGCGGCUGCCCGCAGGCCCUGAAAACCAGUGGCGGGCUCGCUAGUCACACCGAGCGCAGUAGCACAUCUCGCUCAGGGCGUGCGGCGGGCUCCUGCCGUGAAACCCCCCACUGUAACCCCAAAGGUUGACCUCGGAUCAGGUAGGAAUACCCGCUGAACUUAAGCAUAUCAAUAAGCGGAGGA
RNAcentral lists this unclassified non-coding RNA (342 nucleotides) under soil metagenome. RNAcentral's name for it is "partial contains 5.8S ribosomal RNA, internal transcribed spacer 2, and large subunit ribosomal RNA". The stretch from base 1 to 120 matches the Rfam family "5.8S ribosomal RNA", at positions 35 to 154 of the family's 154-position model. The record is from RNAcentral.